Non-coding RNA from Caranx melampygus (bluefin trevally), 71 nucleotides. The record is from the annotation of a GenBank genome assembly. NCBI's taxonomy places the organism in Eukaryota, Metazoa, Chordata, Actinopteri, Carangiformes, Carangidae.
GUGGCUGUGGCUCAGGAGGUAGAGCGGGUCGUUCACAAACCAAAAGGUCAGUGGUUCGAUCCCCGGCUCCU